GGCUGUGCAGUGCAAUGGAUAGCGCAUUGGACUUCUAGGCGGUGAGAUGAGCCAUUCAAAGGAUGUGGGUUUGAGGCCCACCAGAGUCA
RNAcentral lists this transfer RNA (89 nucleotides) under Danio rerio (zebrafish). It matches the Rfam family "tRNA". Rfam says of the family: Transfer RNA (tRNA) molecules are approximately 80 nucleotides in length. Their secondary structure includes four short double-helical elements and three loops (D, anti-codon, and T loops). Lineage: Eukaryota; Metazoa; Chordata; Actinopteri; Cypriniformes; Danionidae. The record is from Rfam by way of RNAcentral.